CCUACGGGAGGCAGCAGUGGGGAAUAUUGCACAAUGGGGGAAACCCUGAUGCAGCGACGCCGCGUGAGUGAAGAAGUAAUUCGUUAUGUAAAGCUCUAUCAGCAGGGAAGAAACUGACGGUACCUGUGUAAGAAGCCCCGGCUAACUACGUGCCAGCAGCCGCGGUAAUACGUAGGGGGCAAGCGUUAUCCGGAUUUACUGGGUGUAAAGGGAGCGUAGACGGCAGUGCAAGUCUGGAGUGAAAGGCGGGGGCUCAACCCCCGGACUGCUCUGGAAACUGGACGGCUGGAGUGCAGGAGAAGUAAGUGGAAUUCCUAGUGUAGCGGUGAAAUGCGUAGAUAUUAGGAAGAACACCAGUGGCGAAGGCGGCUUACUGGACUGUAACUGACGUUGAGGCUCGAAAGCGUGGGGAGCAAACAGGAUUAGAUACCCGAGUAGUC
RNAcentral lists this ribosomal RNA (440 nucleotides) under uncultured bacterium. Its description in RNAcentral is "partial 16S ribosomal RNA". It matches the Rfam family "Bacterial small subunit ribosomal RNA", at positions 338 to 795 of the family's 1533-position model. The record is from RNAcentral.